GACGAACGCUGGCGGCGUGCUUAACACAUGCAAGUCGAACGGUGAAGCGCCUUCCUUUUUGGUGGGUGGGGAGGAGCGGCGAACGGGUGAGUAACACGUGAGUAACCUGCCCCCUUCUGCUGGACAACCGCAAGAAAGUGUGGCUAAUACGGGAUAUUCUGGGUCUGUCGCUUGAUGGGUCUGGGAAAGAUUUGGUUUCGGUGGGGGAUGGGCUCGCGGCCUAUCAGCUUGUUGGUGGGGUGAUGGCCUACCAAGGCGGUGACGGGUAGCCGGCCUGAGAGGGUCGACGGUCACGGUGGGACUGCGCCGCCGCCCCGCCUCCUACAGGCGGCAGCAGUGGGUAUUCUUGCACGGUGGGCGGCAGCCUGGUGCAGCGCCGCCGCGGUGGGGAUGGUCUCCUUCUCGUUGUGAACCUCUUUCGCCAGUGAAGCAGUCCGGCCUCGUUUGUGCGUGUGUUGACGGUAGCUGGUUAGGAAGCGCCGGCUAACUACGUG
Molecule: ribosomal RNA, 494 nt
Filed under: uncultured bacterium
Lineage: Bacteria
Description: partial 16S ribosomal RNA
Rfam family: Bacterial small subunit ribosomal RNA
Source: RNAcentral